UCCCUGGUAGUCCAGUGGUUAAGACUCUGCGCUCCCAAUGCAGGGGGCAUGGGUGUGAUCCCUGGUUAGGGAA
Non-coding RNA from Bos taurus (domestic cattle), 73 nucleotides. NCBI's taxonomy places the organism in Eukaryota, Metazoa, Chordata, Mammalia, Artiodactyla, Bovidae. The record is from Rfam.